This 473-nucleotide ribosomal RNA is filed under the name uncultured bacterium. RNAcentral describes it as "bacterial SSU rRNA". It matches the Rfam family "Bacterial small subunit ribosomal RNA", at positions 29 to 501 of the family's 1533-position model. The record is from RNAcentral.
AAUGAACGCUGGCGGCGUGCCUAACACAUGCAAGUCGAGCGAGAAAGUUCCUUCGGGAGCAAGUACAGCGGCGGACGGGUGAGUAAUGCGUAAGAAUCUGCCCUUUAGUGAGGAAUACUCUCGAGAAAUCGAGGUUAAUACCGCAUAAGUCCCUUCGGGGAGAAAGAUGGCCUCUUGCUGUCGCUAAAGGAUGAGCUUGCGUGCUAUUAGCUAGUUGGUGGGGUAAGAGCCUACCAAGGCGAUGAUGGCUAGCCGGCCUGAGAGGGUGAACGGCCACAUUGGAACUUAGAUACGGUCCAGACUCCUACGGGAGGCAGCAGUGGGGAAUUUUGCGCAAUGGGCGAAAGCCUGACGCAGCGACGCCGCGUGGGGGAUGAAGGCUUUAGAGUCGUAAACUCCUGUUAAGUGGGAAGAAAAUCCUGUUUUUAAUAUGAACAGGCUAUGACGGUACCAUUAGAGAAAGCACCGCUAAC